GACAGAGGGUGCAAACGUUGUUCGGAAUUACUGGGCGUAAAGCGCGUGUAGGCGGCUUGGCAAGUCGGGUGUGAAAGCCCCGGGCUCAACCUGGGAAGUGCACUCGAAACUGCUUGGCUUGAGUACUGGAGAGGGAAGCGGAAUUCUCGGUGUAGAGGUGAAAUUCGUAGAUAUCGAGAGGAACACCGGUGGCGAAGGCGACUUACUGGACGAUUGUUGACGCUGAGGUGCGAAAGCGUGGGGAGCAAACAGG
Molecule: ribosomal RNA, 253 nt
Filed under: uncultured bacterium
Lineage: Bacteria
Description: partial 16S ribosomal RNA
Rfam family: Bacterial small subunit ribosomal RNA
Source: RNAcentral